Molecule: ribosomal RNA, 499 nt
Filed under: uncultured Glomeromycotina
Lineage: Eukaryota; Fungi; Glomeromycota
Description: partial small subunit ribosomal RNA
Rfam family: Eukaryotic small subunit ribosomal RNA
Source: RNAcentral
CCAAUAGCGUAUAUUAAAGUUGCUGCAGUUAAAAAGCUCGUAGUUGAAUUUCGGGACCAUCAUGUCGGUCGUGCCUCGGUACGUACUGGCAUUGUUGGUUUCUCCCUUCUGACGAACCAUGAUGUCAUUUAUUUGGUGUUGUGGGGAAUCAGGACUGUUACUUUGAAAAAAUUAGAGUGUUUAAAGCAGGCUCACGCUUGAAUACAUUAGCAUGGAAUAAUGAAAUAGGACGUUUGAUUCUAUUUUGUUGGUUUCUAGGAUCGACGUAAUGAUUAAUAGGGAUAGUUGGGGGCAUUAGUAUUCAAUUGUCAGAGGUGAAAUUCUUGGAUUUAUUGAAGACUAACUACUGCGAAAGCAUUUGCCAAGGAUGUUUCCAUUAAUCAAGAACGAAAGUUAGGGGAUCGAAGACGAUCAGAUACCGUCGUAGUCUUAACCAUAAACUAUGCCGACUAGGGAUCGGAUGAUGUUAAUUUUUUAAUGACUCAUUCGGCGCCUUACG